AUGGUUAACACAAAGGAUAACCAAGAGGGUCGUUUCACUUAUGGGGUUCAACCUCUUCUCUUGCUCGUAUCAAAGGCCUGAGAUCUGCAAAACAGUAAACACCGUUAGUCUCGUUAAGAGGGGAAAAGGGGGUUUUCCCUCUUAACCAGGCUCCGGCGUGAGAAUAAGUACUGCUCUGAGAUGAAUAAAACAGUGUGUGUAUAGAGUGAGUAAAGAGAGCCAAGAUCCUUAACCUGAAUGAUGAAGGGUUCUAUUUAUAGCCGGAUGGUGAAGAAGGAGGGAGCAGCUGUGCCAGCUGUGGGUGUGCGCCAGCUGUCCGACCAAGGGGAAUAUCCUCUUGGUCUGCUCUGUCGCGAAGGGUGUAGUGGUACACGUGGCGUCCUUCUAUUUGCUUACGCUGGAUACCUCGUACUGGUUGCGUCAGACUUGCUCCCUGGAUCGUCGCAGGCCUAUGUGGCCUUCUCUUAAUGGUGACACGUGUUGUCCUUUAUGUUGGGCAAAGCAUCUUCGAUGCCAGCUAUGAACCGCCUAGAUGUCUUCUGGAAGCUUCUAGAAGGUCCUGGUGACAUGGGUGCUUUGUGUGCACAAAAGUGUGGUGUGGUCCCUGCCAUGUAGGCAGGGAAUUGGGACCAUACCUCUUCAAGUCCCCCAAGUCCAGUGUGCCUUCUAGUUGAGUUGAUCGUCUAGGAGGGAUUCUGGACUUAU
RNAcentral lists this long non-coding RNA (705 nucleotides) under Helianthus annuus (common sunflower). The record is from RNAcentral. Lineage: Eukaryota; Viridiplantae; Streptophyta; Magnoliopsida; Asterales; Asteraceae.